GAGGAAUAUUGGUCAAUGGGCGCAAGCCUGAACCAGCCAUCCCGCGUGCAGGAAGACGGCGCUAUGCGUUGUAAACUGCUUUUCCAGGGAGAGAGACUUGCGCACGUGUUGCGCAAUUGACGGUACCCUGGGAAUAAGCAUCGGCUAACUCCGUGCCAGCAGCCGCGGUAAUACGGAGGAUGCGAGCGUUAUCCGGUUUCAUUGGGUUUAAAGGGUGCGUAGGCGGACUAUUAAGUCAGUGGUGAAAUCCUGCAGCUUAACUGCAGAACUGCCAUUGAUACUGAUAGCCUUGAGUUUGGUUAAGGUAGGCGGAAUGUGUAAUGUAGCGGUGAAAUGCUUAGAUAUUACACAGAACACCAAUUGCGUAGGCAGCUUACUGAGCCGACACUGACGCUGAGGCACGAAAGCGUGGGGAUCGAACAG
RNAcentral lists this ribosomal RNA (423 nucleotides) under uncultured bacterium. Its description in RNAcentral is "bacterial SSU rRNA". It matches the Rfam family "Bacterial small subunit ribosomal RNA", at positions 356 to 775 of the family's 1533-position model. The record is from RNAcentral.